This is a non-coding RNA of Paralichthys olivaceus (Japanese flounder), 575 nucleotides long. Lineage: Eukaryota; Metazoa; Chordata; Actinopteri; Pleuronectiformes; Paralichthyidae. The record is from RefSeq and is a predicted model, not a curated record.
GGUGGAGACCAAACCUGGAGAUAAAAGAGGAACACUGGACUUAAACUGUUCCCAGAUCGUGUUCCUGCUGCUUCACAGGAGAAACUCACGACAGUCGUGAAACAAUGAUGAAAUGUUUGUGACCUCAUCUACGCGCUCUGUGUGACGUCAUGAUGCCGAUUGUUGUCUCUGUCUCUUAGCAACGGCAGCGACGCUCCGCAGACCACCGCCUGGAGCAGCACAGUCCCGCCCAGCCGCCCCCCCGGCCCCGGGCCCCCAGAUGUGGACUUCUGUGACCUGUUGUACUGUGACGAGGUGUACUGCUGCCCGUCGACAGCAGAGGGCAGCACUGACUUCAACGUCACUGGGCCGGGCGGAGCAGAAAAAACAAACGUGACAGGAAAACUUUAUCACCAACUAGAAGGUUCCAAAGACUGGAGAAACACCACCAUCCAUUCUUUCCUGAUCAAAGAGAACCAGCAGCUGAUCGACAGUAGAUACUGCGUCAGAGACGACUGUGGUCCAGGUAGAUUCAUCUACAGAGUUCCCAUCAGCCCCUUCGUCCCCGUCAACAUGAGAGUCACUCUGCUCAUGAA